RNAcentral lists this small RNA (552 nucleotides) under Pongo abelii (Sumatran orangutan). Its description in RNAcentral is "processed transcript". The record is from RNAcentral. Lineage: Eukaryota; Metazoa; Chordata; Mammalia; Primates; Hominidae.
GCGGUGGCGAAGGCGGCUUUAGUGGCAGCAUGAAGCGCACCCCGACUGCCGAGGAACGAGAGCGCGAAGCUAAGCUAAACCAAAAAGGCUUUAUCUAGGAGGUGAGACUUGUAGAAACUCUUGAUUGAUGGAAGGAAUGAGUCAGUGAACUAGAAGGGUAUUCGAGGCCUGUGGAUAACCAUGUGAGAAGAAACUGAGGCUUCUUGAAGAGCUUGAAGACACUUGGCUUCCUUAUCUGACCCCCAAAGAUGAUGAAUUCUAUCAGCAGGUUCCAGACCUCUGUCCCCAUCCCAGCUCUCCCUGUGACCUCCAGCUUUCCAUUUCCAACUGCCUACGGAGCAGCUCUACCUGAAAGUCUUCCAGCUACAUCUAACUCAACAUGAUUCAUAUUCAUUAAGUUACUUACUCCAUUAAACAAAUGGAUUUCACUCCCCGACUCUGUGCCAGUGGCAGCUGAAAUAUCCUAAACUAAUUCUCCGAGAAGCCAGCAGUGUAUCUGAGGAGCUCCAUAAAGAGGUUCAAGAAGCCUUUCUCACAAUGCACAAGCAUGGC